UCAUACAUUGGGGUGUUAGCACGCACCAAGAUCCCAAUAUCUAUAAAUGAUUGGAGAAAUGUGCCUUUGGAUGAAAAAGACAAGAUUUGGAAUAGUAUUCAGGAUGCUUAUGUGGUGCCAAAAGAAUGGAAGAAAUUGGUGAUUACAUCAGCCGGCCACAAAUGGAGAGAGUUCAAGAGCAAACUAACGAACUGGUACAUUAUUCCCUAUCUGGAUUCUCCUGAACUUUUAAAGUUCCCUCCAGAUGAUUAUCGAUCCAUUGAGGUAGAUGAAUGGAAUACGUUCGUGGCUGAUAGAACUUCAGAACAAUUUCAGGUACUCCGUGAAAAGCAGAAAAUAAAGAGGAAGGAGAAUAAGUAUCCUCAUCGAUUGUCACGGAAAGGAUAUGCUAACUUCCAAGAAGA
Molecule: long non-coding RNA, 404 nt
Organism: Rosa rugosa (rugosa rose)
Lineage: Eukaryota; Viridiplantae; Streptophyta; Magnoliopsida; Rosales; Rosaceae
Exons: 3
Source: RefSeq, a predicted model, not a curated record